RNAcentral lists this non-coding RNA (72 nucleotides) under Streptomyces griseofuscus. RNAcentral's name for it is "Fluoride sequence". It matches the Rfam family "Fluoride riboswitch aptamer (crcB RNA motif)". Lineage: Bacteria; Bacillati; Actinomycetota; Actinomycetes; Kitasatosporales; Streptomycetaceae. The record is from RNAcentral.
CUCGACCUCGGCGAUGGAUCCCGCCUGGACCUCGGUCCGAACCGCCCCCGGGCUGAUGGUUCCUGACCGACG